This is a long non-coding RNA of Beta vulgaris subsp. vulgaris (sugar beet), 789 nucleotides long. RefSeq lists it as uncharacterized. The transcript has 2 exons. NCBI's taxonomy places the organism in Eukaryota, Viridiplantae, Streptophyta, Magnoliopsida, Caryophyllales, Amaranthaceae. The record is from RefSeq and is a predicted model, not a curated record.
GAUAUCCAAGCUUUGCUAAUAGUAGGUCAAUGGAAUUUGUUUUUGUUGGAAGAUAGGUUAAGACUCUUUUGCCGAUCUAUAAAAGGAAAGUUGAAUGGUACACCGGCAAUGGUUAAACAAUCGCCAAACUCUCCUCUAAAGAUCUCUCUUCAUGUCCUUCCUCACACAAUCUGGGACUAAGACAUGAGUUUUCGAGUCUUCCUUCAUCUCCAUUCCCAGCUUAGCAAGCUUAUGAGCAACCAUAUUUGUUUCUCGUCGCACAUGCAGAAAUUGAGCUUCAAAGUUGCACUUAACAUACCCUGUCACUUCCUGUAUAAUCAUUGCAAGUUGGUGAAGUUCAUAGUUCUCGACCUCUAUCAGCAUCUAGUGGAUAAGAGAGGCAUCCAUUUCCACCUGCAGCUUCUUGAUCACUUAUCUAAUCCUAAGAUAAAAAUGAAAGUUUUGAUUGUUUGAUAAUAGUAUUAUCUGCAUUGCUUGUAAGUCAUAACAAAAUUAUAAAUCAUGUGAAGUGAAAUGUGGAUAGCAAUAGCAUUAGACUUGUGCACGUCUAAAGUGUUGGACAAGUAGAGAGUUGCAGUACAUGGCUUUUCCUGGAAUCGGAUUGAUCACUGUUCCUAUUUUUAUUUCAAAGGUUCCUCGAUAUCGUAGGUCAUGGAAAUACAGAAUCGCGAUUUUUAGUCAGAUAACUUGUUCUAUUGACUAUUCCAUUUAAAGUAAAUAAAAUGUUGGUUGUAAAGUUUAGUUCAGUAAGAGUUAUCUGCAAGUUUAAUAUAUUAUUAUUUAUUCCUA